Malus domestica (apple) is the source of this 798-nucleotide non-coding RNA. NCBI's taxonomy places the organism in Eukaryota, Viridiplantae, Streptophyta, Magnoliopsida, Rosales, Rosaceae. The record is from RefSeq and is a predicted model, not a curated record.
UUUUAUGGUACAUUUGGAUCAUUCGGCCGAUGCAGUGCCAUAUCCUUUUUAGGGUUUUAUUUUUUUCAUGUUUAUUGUUCGUAAUUUGUAGUGUUGCAUUGCAUUCCAACAUCGAAUAUUGAGGGUAAUAGAGUAGAUCUAUUGGUUCACCUUCUUUCAUUUGGUGCUUUCAACUUUGAAUUUUUUAAUCCUACUCAUUUUGCUUAGUUUUUGUUCGAUUUGGAUUUUGCAGUUUAGAGCCGAUUUGGGGAUUUUGAAAUGUUGGACGUUGGGCCAGUUACACCACAACAGGCUCUUCUAGAGGCAGUGUUGGCGUGUAGAUGAUGAGGAGGAAAUGACGAAGGUAGAUGACCAAAAAGGUCUUAUAGAAGAAGAAGAAGCUCAGAAGUCUGAUACACCAAGCAACUCCAUCUGAAAGUGACAGAAUCCAAAGGAACUGCGGUCCAGUGGCUGUAUAAAAGAAAAGGACAACGCAUGCUCUCUCUCACAGUAGCUCUGUGUUCCUCUCCCCCCAAACCUAAUGGCUUCAACCCAAUUCAGAGCUUGCUCGGAUCGGGACCUCUUGGAGAUUCGGAGCUCCAGGUGAGAUAAUUUUCCCCAAAUUGUAUUCAAUCUAUGUUGCUUCAUUUCAUUUUCCAUUUUAAUUUGGAAUUGUUGAUAUUUUAGGCAGGUAUUGCAUGUAUAACCACAACAAUUUUUGUGUUAGAUUGGGGUCAAAUUGUCCAGCUUUAUUAGCUAUUUGGUCGCCUGUGUAUUUGUAAUAUGAAUAAUAUGAAUUAUGGUUUUUCUGUUAGUGUC